GCCGCCGCCGGAUCGCAUGCCAGAUCCACCAGUACGCCCAGACCGCGUCCGGAUCCAUCCCGGCCGCCCAUGCCGCCUAUGCGCGCCCCUCCCUCAGCCCACCGGCGACCUCCCAUCCUCCACCGUCUACCCCACCGUCGGAUCUCCUCCUCCCCUCUCCUUCUCUCCCUCGCGGACGCGUCAAACCCACGAAAUUUCCCUCCUCGCGGCCGUAACCCUAGCUCGUGCCUGUGGGGACUGGGCUGGAGGUGCGGCACGGGAUUCGCACCGCAGGAUUCGCCAGCGACGAGUCCAACAGGUCGUCGAAUCGGGGAACGGGAUGGCGCACCCUGCUGCAGCCGCCGGUCGGGACGAGCGCGGCGGCGACGAACGUCGGUGCGCCUCCGUUUCCUCGACCUCCAAGGACGCAGGCGCCGGAUUUGUUCUCGCCUGACCAGCCUCGGUAUCCAGCUCCCUACAGCCACCGCCGGCGUUGACUCCCAAGGCAAGGAUGACGACGACGCCAAAGAUGACGAGGCACCGAGCUCGAGCACGACCACUACGACGCACUGCACAAAGGCCCCUGCUUCCUGCCUACCCUUCCCUUUGCUUGGAAGAUAGCUCUCUCCAGAUGUUGUUCCUGUCCUUCUCCUUGGUUGUUGAGCGCUGUACUCACUCAUGUAUGCAGGUUGAGUCCAAGCACAAGUAAGCACCAUUAUUAGGCGAGAAGAUGACGGUGACGCAGAGGAGGACGAGGACCCGCGCUCCAGCCCGACCACGACUAUGCACCGCACGGUCCCUGCUUCCUGGCUGUCGCCAAUUGCCCCCUUCCCUUUACAUUACUACUCUAUUUGUUUUCAUUGCUUUUCACCCAGUUUUGCACACUUUCUGGCCCUUCACUUUUUUGUGUGCAAAUGUUCUGAUCGCCUCCAUAUGGCUGUUUCCGUCCUCCUGCUCGUAUUGUCUCCAUCCUCCUGCUCAAGUCGUCGCCGUCGCCUCCCAUCCUUCAUGGCCUGCGUGUGUGCUCCCACUGUUGGAGGACGACGUUGAACAUGAAGCAGAACCCAGCUGGAGCGGUCUGAAGCGGUGGUCGUGGCCAAGGAGCGGUGGUCGAUGCCAUGGAGUAGGGGCCCUCGGUCGCCUGCACAUCGGCUGCAUUCUGAACUAACGCUUUCUGCAACUGCAAUGUUCCCCUUCACAUUGUAUCUUGUGUAGGCAGAAGGAAUGCAGCUCAGUGACGGCGUCGGCUACAACUGGAUCGAUGGCCUGAAGGCUUUUACUAAGAAGAUGAAGAAUGUUGUAGAAUAGUGUCCAUCAACAAAGAGUCUUACUACUACCGGUUGGAGAGGCUCUAUCCUCAGUGCACCACCCUUUCUACACACAUCAUUCAUGGAUUGGCAGACUAAAGGUUCUAUUCAACAUCUUUGGUGGAUUGCAUAAAUGGGCUAGAGUAAAAAUAGACCAGAAUUGUUAUAUGUGCUUAGGGAAGUGGGAUUAGAUCAAGAUUUUUUUUGACAAAAUGAGAAAUCAAUGGCUCAAGGAGAGUAAGCCCAAAGAGAUAAGUAUUGUUUUCCUUUAGUAGCUUGCCGCAUAAUUCAUUCAAACAUAUUUAGAGUGGAGCAGGAAUAUUCAAACAAGGAAAUGUACACAAUAUCUGUUAGUAUACAUGUGACACUUUCCCAUCUUUCGACUAAUGAUUGCCUCCUGCCAGGUAUCACUAAUAGCACAUUCAUCACAUCAUUUGUGUAGCUCAUUCUGGUGUAAGUCGGGCCAAUUUAGAAAAGAUUUUAAAGCAGAUUCAUACAUGUUAUAGAAGUCAGAGUCAAAUAGUAUAAUAAGUGAUUUGUUUGUGCAUAAUUUCUAAUUGAUCGUCUUCUAAGGAUAAAUGGAACUGCUACCUUUCCUCUCUCCAAUAAACUAUUAGACCCUGCUUGUAACUAUUUUUCAUCUUGGUGUGAUUUAUAAGGGAGGCCAUGCCAUUAGUUUUUUGUUAUUACAUGCUGUGAUGAUCCCGAUUCAUUGAUGUAUAGUGUCGUAUGUGGUCAAUUACCUAAUAUGGUAGUAUCACUUCUCCUGGUUUGCCUUGGUCUGAAAUCUGACUUUUGGACUGAUUGUAGUCAAUCUGAAUUAGUGAGGUUCUUUUUUCCAACUGUCCAUGUUCAGUUCUCUACAUUAUCAUGCAUUUUCUUUGGUUUAAAGAUGUCAUGAUGUUCACCAAGGCAGAGAAGAAAUGUUUUAAAGUUGUCCCUUCAAUUGAAACAAGUAUGACUUGGUCCUUAGUGCCUAUGCAGACAUGAAAACGGAAGGUCGAGAGGUUUAAAUAUGUCAUGAUGUUUACAAUUGCGGAUAUCCUGCUUCAGGUACUUGCAUGAUAACUCACAAUUUCAACACAGAAGUUACUAAUAUGUAAGACAUGCCCUCUCUCAUUCAAUGAUGUCCUGAAACUUUCACACAAAGCUUUGUAAUCUUGCCAAGUCACAAGAGAGCCAAGUAAUCAUGCGAAUUUUCAGAGAACUUCAAGUGGCAUGCCACCAUUUGCAAUGGUUGUGAUGUAGUGAUAAUUAAUAAACUGCAGGUCUUCUAAAUAUUCUAAAGUUGCAUAUCCAAGAGCAUAUUAUAUUUCUCAUAAACAACUGGAGUUAAGCUUCUAUCCUCUUCCUGUCUUGAAGGAAUUAUCUGUUGAGUAAGCUACAAUCUCUUUGUUUGACUAGCUAGGCUGUGUUACAUACAUGUAUAAGAUGAUGCUUCUGUGGCUAUAACUGGUGCCUGCCACGCUAAAUAGGAAACACCCUAUUAAUUACCCACCUCAAUUUCAUUAGUGCGUCCGGCCUGUGAAUUUUACCCCAGACUAUAAAUCCCCUCCAAACGAAACCCUAUAGGUGUACUAUGACUUAAUAGUGUAUCCUUGUAAAAGUUAGUGUGUUGGGUUAUUUUUUUGGUGUGGUUAGAGAACUCGACUCCAUUUGGAACGAGGGUUUGAGUUUUAUUUUUCCUAAACCUUUGAGAGGCAGAGCCAUGGAAAUAUUUUGUGCUCUCAUUCCUCUGGAUGGAAGCUCUAACUUUUCCUCUUUGUUUCCAAUAAGCUACUUUCUUCGAGAUUGUGCAAUGAAGGAUUUUGAUGGUAAGGGAUCGUAGAGCCUCGGGUGACUAGCAUUAAGAUAGGAAGGUUGUUGCCGCCCUUGUCCCUUGCUGCUGUGUUGCCACGGUGGCGUCAAUCACUGGCUUAUUUAGAACAAUAGUUAGUGGAUUUUGUGAUAAGGGUGAGGGCCGAGAGUGAGAGGGACGGGGUUGGGAUUGGUCUGUUGUAUGCGUGAAAUUAUUUCCCUACUUCAGAAAAUAUGGCAAAUUGCAUUUCAUUAGAGAUUGAUUUACAGCAAAUUGCAUGAGCGAGUGGUUCAUGCAUUUUUCAUCAAGUCGUACAUUUUCUUGGUUAUGACAUAAGGGUAAAUGUACUGGUUGGUUGCUUCAAGACUUAAUAACAGACACUAUGACAAUGGCUCAAGAGAUAUCAGAUCUACCUUCUUGGCUGGGGGCGUUAUGGGUGGCGCACGCCUCGACCCCCUUGAUGGCCGUGGUGGAUGGACAUGAACACGAGGGGGGAUCAGGGCGGAGAGCAGGGUGGUUGGCAGGGGACUCAUCCUUGGCAGUUCAUGGGAAAGUACGGUGUGAAGCAGAGGGGGCGCCAUGGCGAAGUGUGAAAGGAGGAAAAUGGUUGCCGGAAAGCAGGUAGAUCUACACCUUGAGAUGGCAUUUUGCGGUACAUUGUUUAGGUCAUUAGUGGUCACUUGGGAUGGGUGCGAUCUGUAGCAUUUGAUCCAGGGAACAAAUGGUUUUGUCCUGGUUUUGCUGAUAGGACAAUAACGGCAAGGAAGAAGGUUGCAGAGCACGGAUGGAUGUGAAAAGGAAGGGGAUGGAUGAGAGAGGAGAGAAGAGGGGUGAAAGAGGAUACAUAUGGAAAGAGGGAGAAGGACAGGGUGGAGGUGCUUCUUGAGGAUUAUUGUCGACUGAUUUCAUACUCUCUUAUAAAUUCAUGGUUAGCUAGGUAAACCUUUUGUACAACAGCUCUUGUUCAAAAGGAAGUUUGAUUUUUCGGCUUCUUAUUUUAGGUCAAUAUCAAGAACAGUUUAGUUAAUUUAGUUUAAUGUUUAUGUUUGAAAUUGACUUUUACCAUUCUGGUUGAAUGGGGGUGUGGAUAGAAGAGAUUGCGAGUCGAGUACGGUGAUGCCAA
Triticum dicoccoides is the source of this 4207-nucleotide long non-coding RNA. RefSeq lists it as uncharacterized. The transcript has 8 exons. The record is from RefSeq and is a predicted model, not a curated record. Lineage: Eukaryota; Viridiplantae; Streptophyta; Magnoliopsida; Poales; Poaceae.